Vicia villosa (hairy vetch) is the source of this 515-nucleotide long non-coding RNA. RefSeq lists it as uncharacterized. Lineage: Eukaryota; Viridiplantae; Streptophyta; Magnoliopsida; Fabales; Fabaceae. The transcript has 3 exons. The record is from RefSeq and is a predicted model, not a curated record.
CGAAAGGUUUUCUUCUUCAAACCUCCCAUUGCCGAAUUUCAAUAUCUCAACCUAAACAGUACUGCCGCAUGCUCUCACCAGUUGAUUCUUAUGGUGUUCACAAUUGAUUCUCAUUCCCACCGCUUUCUCUCUCAAACGACCUUCAAUCAACACUUCACUCAAUUUGCCCUUCAGAAAUCACCGUGAAGGAAGUUGUGUUGAUAUUGAAGUCGCUUUUAACUAAGGACAAGCUUUUGGUUUCUGUUGCUGCUGGAAUCAAGUUGAAAGAUCUUCAGGUAUCAAUGAAGAUGUUGAAAAGGAUGUUAUAAAUAAUGAAAUUCAAGAGGACAACGUAGAUGAUGGAUUUCAAGAGGACGUCUUAGGUGACGAAUUUCAAGAGGACGGCAUAGAUGUUGAUGAUAAAUUUCAAGAGGAUGAUAUAGUUGGUGAAUUUCAAGAGGACGGUGUAGAUGAAAUUUUUUUGGAGGACGACAUAUGUGAUGAAUUUCAAGAGGACGAUUUGGAUGAUAAAUUUC